Long non-coding RNA from Cynara cardunculus var. scolymus (artichoke), 635 nucleotides. RefSeq lists it as uncharacterized. Lineage: Eukaryota; Viridiplantae; Streptophyta; Magnoliopsida; Asterales; Asteraceae. The transcript has 2 exons. The record is from RefSeq and is a predicted model, not a curated record.
AGACCAUACCUAAACCAUAACAAGAUAGAUCGUGGUCUAUGGAUUUCAAGGUCUGUAUUUCUCGUCUUCUUUGGAUUGUCUUGAUCAUCGUUUUGGCUUAUGGACGUGGAGCAGAUGGGAAAGGUGAUCCUGUUCCAAAUCGUGGAACCGAUCCUCCUCAUAACAGACGACUUGCUAGAAACUUUUCGAGGAUCUUGAAUGAUGAUCAUAAUUAAUCACAAUACUGGACUAUAUUAAGUCUUGGGUAUUUUCAUAUUCUUGUGAAAUUAUAACCUUUCAUCCUUAUUGAAUCUAUCUUUACAAACAUGAGUGUGUUCUUGGAUGUGAUUUCUAGUCCAAGAGCUUGAAUAAAGAUCAUAAUCAAAAUUGUAGUACUACAUAUCCUCCAAUUUCUGUGUAUUAUUAUCCAUUUGUUUUCCUUGUUGAAUCUUUCUUUUUUUUUUCCUUUUUUAUGAUUACUAUAUGUGUAUGAAUAUGAUUUCUAGUUGUUAGAUGUUACCGUUUAAAGUUAUACUUCAUGUGUUGAAGUCUAAUAGUAAUGGUGGUUCUAAAUAACUUGUUAUAGUAUCGAAGUUUCGCUUCACAGUUACAUUAAUGAAGUGGCUCCGUUCUAAGGUUUGGAGUGCAUUGUAACA